UGCCUUGCAGUGUUGCCCAUCCCUGUGUGGUUGGUGGAUGUGGUGUCAGAUAAGGCAUACAGCAACUCCAUAGGUGGCAUUCGGGGAAGGGUUUUCCCAUACCCUCUCUGAUGACCACCUUAUGUACACAG
Engraulis encrasicolus (European anchovy) is the source of this 131-nucleotide small nucleolar RNA. RefSeq annotates it as small nucleolar RNA SNORA13. The record is from RefSeq and is a predicted model, not a curated record. NCBI's taxonomy places the organism in Eukaryota, Metazoa, Chordata, Actinopteri, Clupeiformes, Engraulidae. The transcript has a single exon.